AACCGACACAGGUGGUCAGGUAGAGAAUACCAAGGCGCUUGAGAGAACUCGGGUGAAGGAACUAGGCAAAAUGGUGCCGUAACUUCGGGAGAAGGCACGCUGACACGUAGGUGAAGUGAUUUACUCAUGGAGCUGAAGUCAGUCGAAGAUACCAGCUGGCUGCAACUGUUUAUUAAAAACACAGCACUGUGCAAACACGAAAGUGGACGUAUACGGUGUGCCGCCUGCCCGGU
This 233-nucleotide ribosomal RNA is filed under the name Salmonella enterica subsp. enterica serovar Infantis. RNAcentral's name for it is "partial 23S ribosomal RNA". It matches the Rfam family "Bacterial large subunit ribosomal RNA", at positions 1652 to 1867 of the family's 2925-position model. The record is from RNAcentral. Lineage: Bacteria; Pseudomonadati; Pseudomonadota; Gammaproteobacteria; Enterobacterales; Enterobacteriaceae.